Molecule: unclassified non-coding RNA, 212 nt
Filed under: Vishniacozyma carnescens
Lineage: Eukaryota; Fungi; Basidiomycota; Tremellomycetes; Tremellales; Bulleribasidiaceae
Description: partial internal transcribed spacer region
Rfam family: Eukaryotic small subunit ribosomal RNA (bases 1-46)
Source: RNAcentral
AAGUCAUAACAAGGUUUCCGUAGGUGAACCUGCGGAAGGAUCAUUAAUAAUGCCCUCUGACUUCGGUCAGCUGGGUUCAAAUGAGUGCCUUCUCUUCGGAGUUGGCCAUCCUCACACACCGUGAACUGUGGCUUCGGCCAUCACAAACCGUUAGUAAUGAAUGUAAUAUCAUAACAAAAACAAAACUUUUAACAACGGAUCUCUUGGCUCUC